Molecule: ribosomal RNA, 492 nt
Filed under: uncultured bacterium
Lineage: Bacteria
Description: partial 16S ribosomal RNA
Rfam family: Bacterial small subunit ribosomal RNA
Source: RNAcentral
AGUGAACGCUGGCGGUAGGCCUAACACAUGCAAGUCGAACGGCAGCACAGUAAGAGCUUGCUCUUACGGGUGGCGAGUGGCGGACGGGUGAGGAAUACAUCGGAAUCUACUUUUUCGUGGGGGAUAACGUAGGGAAACUUACGCUAAUACCGCAUACGACCUACGGGGGAAAGCAGGGGAUCUUCGGACCUUGCGCGAUUGAAUGAGCCGAUGUCGGAUUAGCUAGUUGGCGGGGGAAAGGCCCACGAAGGCGACGAUCCGUAGCUGGUCUGAGAGGAUGAUCAGCCACAUGGGAAGUGAGACACGGUCCAGACUCCUACGGGAGGCAGCAGUCGGGAAUAUUAGACAAUGGGCGCAAGCCUGAUCCAGCCAUAGCGCGUGGGUGAAGAAGGCGUUCGGGUUGUAAAGCCCUUUUGUUGGGAGAGAAAAGCAGCAGGUUAAUACCCAGCUGUACUGACGGUACCGAAAGAAUAAGCACCGGCUAACUUCGUG